This 253-nucleotide ribosomal RNA is filed under the name uncultured bacterium. RNAcentral's name for it is "partial 16S ribosomal RNA". It matches the Rfam family "Bacterial small subunit ribosomal RNA", at positions 524 to 776 of the family's 1533-position model. The record is from RNAcentral.
UACGGAGGGUGCAAGCGUUAUCCGGAUUUACUGGGUAUAAAGGGUGCGUAGGCGGACUUUUAAGUUAGAUGUGAAAGCUUGCAGCUCAACUGUAAGAUUGCGUUUGAUACUGGAAGUCUUGAAUGUGAUAGAAGUGGGCGGAAUAAAUCAUGUAGCGGUGAAAUGCUUAGAUAUGAUUUAGAACACUGAUUGCGAAGGCAGCUCGCUAUGUCAUGAUUGACGCUGAGGCACGAAAGCGUGGGGAUCAAACAGG